RNAcentral lists this unclassified non-coding RNA (320 nucleotides) under plant metagenome. Its description in RNAcentral is "partial contains 5.8S ribosomal RNA, internal transcribed spacer 2, and large subunit ribosomal RNA". The stretch from base 1 to 105 matches the Rfam family "5.8S ribosomal RNA", at positions 50 to 154 of the family's 154-position model. The record is from RNAcentral.
GAAAUGCGAUAAGUAAUGUGAAUUGCAGAAUUCAGUGAAUCAUCGAAUCUUUGAACGCACAUUGCUCCCGCCAGUAUUCUGGCGGGCAUGCCUGUUCGAGCGUCAUUACAACCCUCAGGCCCCCGGGCCUGGCGUUGGGGAUCGGCGGAAGCCCCCUGCGGGCACAACGCCGUCCCCCAAAUACAGUGGCGGUCCCGCCGCAGCUUCCAUUGCGUAGUAGCUAACACCUCGCAACUGGAGAGCGGCGCGGCCACGCCGUAAAACACCCAACUUCUGAAUGUUGACCUCGAAUCAGGUAGGAAUACCCGCUGAACUUAAGC